Molecule: ribosomal RNA, 468 nt
Filed under: uncultured bacterium
Lineage: Bacteria
Description: partial 16S ribosomal RNA
Rfam family: Bacterial small subunit ribosomal RNA
Source: RNAcentral
GACGAACGCUGGCGGCGUGCUUAACACAUGCAAGUCGAACGGAAAGGCCCUGCUUUUGUGGGGUGCUCGAGUGGCGAACGGGUGAGUAACACGUGAGUAACCUGCCCUUGACUUUGGGAUAACUUCAGGUAACUGGGGCUAAUACCGGAUAGGAGCUCCUGCUGCAUGGUGGGGGUUGGAAAGUUUCGGCGGUUGGGGAUGGACUCGCGGCUUAUCAGCUUGUUGGUGGGGUAGUGGCUUACCAAGGCUUUGACGGGUAGCCGGCCUGAGAGGGUGACCGGCCACAUUGGGACUGAGAUACGGCCCAGACUCCUACGGGAGGCAGCAGUGGGGAAUAUUGCACAGUGGGCGGAAGCCUGAUGCAGCAACGCCGCGUGCGGGAUGACGGCCUUCGGGUUGUAAACCGCUUUCGCCUGUGACGAAGCGUGAGUGACGGUAAUGGGUAAAGAAGCACCGGCUAACUACGUG